UGGGGUGUGGCUCAAGGGUGGAGCACUUGCUUAACAUGCAUGAAGCCCUGGGUUCAAGCCCCAGUACCAAAA
RNAcentral lists this transfer RNA (72 nucleotides) under Marmota monax (woodchuck). It matches the Rfam family "tRNA". From Rfam's summary of the family: Transfer RNA (tRNA) molecules are approximately 80 nucleotides in length. Their secondary structure includes four short double-helical elements and three loops (D, anti-codon, and T loops). Lineage: Eukaryota; Metazoa; Chordata; Mammalia; Rodentia; Sciuridae. The record is from Rfam by way of RNAcentral.